Molecule: transfer RNA, 87 nt
Filed under: Bacillota bacterium
Lineage: Bacteria; Bacillati; Bacillota
Description: Firmicutes bacterium (gut metagenome) tRNA-Leu
Rfam family: tRNA
About the family: Transfer RNA (tRNA) molecules are approximately 80 nucleotides in length. Their secondary structure includes four short double-helical elements and three loops (D, anti-codon, and T loops). Further hydrogen bonds mediate the characteristic L-shaped molecular structure. tRNAs have two regions of fundamental functional importance: the anti-codon, which is responsible for specific mRNA codon recognition, and the 3' end, to which the tRNAs corresponding amino acid is attached (by aminoacyl-tRNA synthetases). tRNAs cope with the degeneracy of the genetic code in two manners: having more than one tRNA (with a specific anti-codon) for a particular amino acid; and 'wobble' base-pairing, i.e. permitting non-standard base-pairing at the 3rd anti-codon position.
Source: RNAcentral
GCGGAUAUGGCGGAACUGGCAGACGCGUUAGAUUCAGGUUCUAAUGGGGGCAACCCCAUGGAGGUUCAAGUCCUCUUAUCCGCACCA